AUUUAUGUAGUAUAAAAAUUAUAUUUGACUUCCAAUCAAAAGAUCUAAGAUAUAGUAUAAAUA
RNAcentral lists this transfer RNA (63 nucleotides) under Dicerca corrugata. RNAcentral describes it as "tRNA-Gly". The record is from RNAcentral. Lineage: Eukaryota; Metazoa; Arthropoda; Insecta; Coleoptera; Buprestidae.